GUUUAUAUAGUUUAUACAAAAUUUUACAUUUUCAUUGUAAAGAAAAUUAUUUUUAUAAAUA
Molecule: transfer RNA, 61 nt
Filed under: Hemicaecilius smithersi
Lineage: Eukaryota; Metazoa; Arthropoda; Insecta; Psocodea; Sphaeropsocidae
Description: tRNA-Glu
Source: RNAcentral